Molecule: non-coding RNA, 153 nt
Filed under: Halotalea alkalilenta
Lineage: Bacteria; Pseudomonadati; Pseudomonadota; Gammaproteobacteria; Oceanospirillales; Halomonadaceae
Description: FMN sequence
Rfam family: FMN riboswitch aptamer (RFN element)
About the family: The RFN element is a highly conserved domain that is found frequently in the 5'-untranslated regions of prokaryotic mRNAs that encode for flavin mononucleotide (FMN) biosynthesis and transport proteins.
Source: Rfam by way of RNAcentral
CGAAGUUCUCAGGGCGGGGUGAAACUCCCCACCGGCGGUGAUGACGAUCCUUCGUCCAAGCCCGCGAGCGCCCGUCAGAUGAUAUUGAUGGGGUCAGCAGAUUCGGUGAGAUUCCGAAGCCGACGGUGAUAGUCCGGAUGAAAGAGAACCGAU